AUACGUAGGUGACAAGCGUUAUCCGGAUUUACUGGGCGUAAAGGGCGUGUAGGCGGUCUUGCAAGUCAGAAGUGAAAUUCCUGAGCUCAACUCGGGCGCUGCUUCUGAAACUGCAGGACUUGAGUGCUGGAGGGGAUAGCGGAAUUCCUAGUGGAGCGGUAAAAUGCGCAGAUAUUAGGAAGAACACCGGUGGCGAAGGCGCCUAUCUGGGCAAUAACUGAAGUUGAGGGUCGAACGCGUGGAGAGAAAUCGGUAUUAAAUACCCUAGUAGUCCACGCCGUAAACGAUGAAUACUAGGUGUAGGGGGUAUCGACUCCCUCUGUGCCGCAGUUAACACAAUAAGUAUUCCGCCUGGCGAGUACGGCCGCAAGGUUGAAGCUCAAAGGAAUUGACGUGG
RNAcentral lists this ribosomal RNA (397 nucleotides) under uncultured bacterium. RNAcentral's name for it is "partial 16S ribosomal RNA". It matches the Rfam family "Bacterial small subunit ribosomal RNA", at positions 523 to 918 of the family's 1533-position model. The record is from RNAcentral.